GCUUAACACAUGCAAGUCGAGGGGCAGCAUUUUAGUUUGCUUGCAAACUGAAGAUGGCGACCGGCGCACGGGUGAGUAACACGUAUCCAACCUGCCGAUAACUCCGGAAUAGCCUUUCGAAAGAAAGAUUAAUACCGGAUAGCAUACGAAUAUCGCAUGAUAUUUUUAUUAAAGAAUUUCGGUUAUCGAUGGGGAUGCGUUCCAUUAGUUUGUUGGCGGGGUAACGGCCCACCAAGACUACGAUGGAUAGGGGUUCUGAGAGGAAGGUCCCCCACAUUGGAACUGAGACACGGUCCAAACUCCUACGGGAGGCAGCAGUGAGGAAUAUUGGUCAAUGGGCGAGAGCCUGAACCAGCCAAGUAGCGUGAAGGAUGAAGGCUCUAUGGGUCGUAAACUUCUUUUAUAUGGGAAUAAAGUUUUCCACGUGUGGAAUUUUGUAUGUACCAUAUGAAUAAGGAUCGGCUAACUCCGUGCCAGCAGCCGCGGUAAUACGGAGGAUCCGAGCGUUAUCCGGAUUUAUUGGGUUUAAAGGGAGCGUAGGUGGAUUGUUAAGUCAGUUGUGAAAGUUUGCGGCUCAACCGUAAAAUUGCAGUUGAAACUGGCAGUCUUGAGUACAGUAGAGGUGGGCGGAAUUCGUGGUGUAGCGGUGAAAUGCUUAGAUAUCACGAAGAACUCCGAUUGCGAAGGCAGCUCACUAGACUGUCACUGACACUGAUGCUCGAAAGUGUGGGUAUCAAACAGGAUUAGAUACCCUGGUAGUCCACACAGUAAACGAUGAAUACUCGCUGUUUGUGAUAUACAGUAAGCGGCCAAGCGAAAGCAUUAAGUAUUCCACCUGGGGAGUACGCCGGCAACGGUGAAACUCAAAGGAAUUGACGGGGGCCCGCACAAGCGGAGGAACAUGUGGUUUAAUUCGAUGAUACGCGAGGAACCUUACCCGGGCUUAAAUUGCAACAGAAUAUAUUGGAAACAGUAUAGCCGUAAGGCUGUUGUGAAGGUGCUGCAUGGUUGUCGUCAGCUCGUGCCGUGAGGUGUCGGCUUAAGUGCCAUAACGAGCGCAACCCUUAUCUUUAGUUACUAACAGGUCAUGCUGAGGACUCUAGAGAGACUGCCGUCGUAAGAUGUGAGGAAGGUGGGGAUGACGUCAAAUCAGCACGGCCCUUACGUCCGGGGCUACACACGUGUUACAAUGGGGGGUACAGAAGGCGGCUACCUGGUGACAGGAUGCUAAUCCCAAAAACCUCUCUCAGUUCGGAUCGAAGUCUGCAACCCGACUUCGUGAAGCUGGAUUCGCUAGUAAUCGCGCAUCAGCCAUGGCGCGGUGAAUACGUUCCCGGGCCUUGUACACACCGCCCGUCAAGCCAUGAAAGCCGGGGGUACCUGAAGUACGUAACCGCAAGGAGCGUCCUAGGGUAAAACUGGUAAUUGGGGCUAAA
This 1436-nucleotide ribosomal RNA is filed under the name uncultured organism. RNAcentral describes it as "SSU rRNA". It matches the Rfam family "Bacterial small subunit ribosomal RNA". The record is from RNAcentral.